RNAcentral lists this small RNA (2308 nucleotides) under Arabidopsis thaliana (thale cress). RNAcentral describes it as "ATSL196120". The record is from RNAcentral. Lineage: Eukaryota; Viridiplantae; Streptophyta; Magnoliopsida; Brassicales; Brassicaceae.
AAUUUCUCAAAACAAAACAACAUCUUCUUCUUCUCGAUUAAGUAAAUAUCCAGUUUAUUUAAGUAUUUUACUAAGGGAAAAAUGUCAUUUAAUUCCCCAAUUUUCAAAAAAUGGUCAUUGUAUACAUCAACUUCGUAUGUGGCUGUUUAAAACAUGAACUAAACGUUGACUAACUUUUAAAACAUGAUCAUUCGUUGACCAGACCAAAAUAGACAUGCCGUUAUCAGUCAUUAACGGAACUUCUAACGUCUGUUAUCAUCUGUUAACUUUAUUAGUCAAGUUUCAAAUUGUAGCCAUUUUAAACAUCAACUUCAUAUGUGGCCAUUUAAAACAUGAACUAAACGUUGAUUACCAUUUAAGACAUGAAAAAUCCGUUGACGAGGCCAAAAUAGACAUGUCUUUAUCAGUAGAACCUAGAAACCCGUUAUUACCCGUUAAUGACUGUUAAUCUGUUCAAAACGACGUCGUUUGAGAAUAAUCUAAAGAACAGAAAGAUUUUUUCCAUAUGAAAUCUUCAUAUCAAAAAGUUUUAAGCAGAACCCAAGAACAUAGUUUGAUAUAGAGAUAAUCGUAGUACCAGUAAUCGGAAGCAAAUAAAGGUGUUUUCGUUUAUAUAUUUGUUUUAAAUUUUAAAAGGAAUCAUGGAAGCAAAUUGAAAACCCAUUAUAAGAUUGUUCGUCUUGUUUGGGCGGUUGUAGAAAUAGAUUUGGAGAACUGGAGUUUUCAUUUAGAAAACAAUCCUGAUUUUCUUUUGAUUAUUCUCAAAACAAAGUCGUUUUAGGAAUACUAAUAGAGUCGUUAACAAGUGAUAACGAAUGUUAUAAGUUCUUUUAAUGAAUGAUGACAACAUGUUUAUUUUGGCUUGGUCAACGAAUUUCUCAUGUUUUAAAUGGUAGUCAACGCUUAAUUCAUGUUUAAAAUGGCCACAUAUAAAGUCGAUGUUUAAAAUGACCAUAAUUUAAAACUUGACUAAUAAAGUCGUUAACAGAUGAUAACGGACGUUAGAAGUUCCGUUAAUGACUGAUAACGGCAUGUCUAUUUUGGCCUGGUCAACGAAUGAUCAUGUUGUAAAAGUUAGUCAACGUUUAGUUUAUGUUUUAGACGGCCGCAUACGAAGUUGAUGUAUAAAAUGGCCAUUUUUUGAAAGUUGGGAGAUUAAUUGACAUUUUUCCCAUUUUACUAAUCACACGUUUCCGUUUCAUACAGUAUUCAUUUGUGUAAAAGUUUGUAUGAACGGUUAGUUCCUUCUUCUAUUUAAGAAACCAAAAGAAAAACGAAGACUAUCUUUGCCUAUUGGAAAUGAUUUUGUCAUUUUAAGCUUAGUGUGGAACUUAGCAGAAGGUGAGUUGAACACAAUAAUGUGAUAUAUUCAAGGGAAAUUUGGAAAACUAACCUACAAAAAAACUAUAAUUAAGAAAGUAACACUAACAAAAAAAUGAGAUGAUAUUCUUUAUAUUUUAUAUAUUAAUCACAACUUUACCCUCUUUCCUUCUCUCUCUCUCCUUCUCUCUCCCUUCUCCGCUUGUCUCCCUACUUCUUUUUUUUCUCUCUCCUUCUCUCCCUCUCUCCUUCUCUCUCUUCUUCUCUCUCUCCUCUCCGCCUUUCUCCUUACUUCUUUUUCUCUUUCUCUCCAAAUGACCUCUUUGCUUUUUUUUGUUUUUAGUUACAGUUCAUUAAUUACCUUUUUGUGAGAUUUAUUUAGGUUCUAAGCUUUGUUUUUUCUUUUUUGUCUUUUUUGAAACAUAAUUUUAACAUCAAAAUGCAUUUAUGGUCUGAAACUAAUUUAUCACUUAAUUUUUUUGUUCUUCAUAGUUACAGGCUCACCACAUAUCUACAAUAAAUUAUGGAUCAUUCUUAAAUAUUGAUAAAUUAGGGAUCAUUCUUAGAUCUAGAAGCGAUGAAGGGUUUACGAUGGUAGAAAUUCUAAAGGGAAAUAGCCAAUAAAUCGAUUUUGAUUUUGAAAGAUUUUUGACAGAUAAUAUUCUAUUUUGUAAAUAUACUAUUUACGUAUACCUUGUACUAUAUACGUUUUAAAAUGAAUUGUUUGUUUUGAUUAAGGAUGUUAAGUGAUUUGAUUAGUGUUUUAUAUUAAAAGCUUUGGGUUCCCUAUAUAUUAUCUUAGGGUUUAGUAUUCUUCCAUCAAAAAGUAUUUAAUUGAUUAUUUGGAUUCAUCAGAACAAACGUUUCUAUUUGAACAAAUAUAUACUAUUCUAUUUUCUGUGAUGAUAUGUAUAGAACUUGGUACUACUAUUCACUUUUUAAAAAAUUUGUUUCCGAUUUUUAAAAUUCAAAUCAUGUUAGAUAAACA